CUGAAUUCAGUAACAAAAUUAUGUUCCCAGUAGUUAUACUUGACAUCUUUAGAGGUACAUAUAAUUAACUAGCAUUUUCCAUGCUUGAUCUCUCAGGAAGAAACCGCCUUGGACGAACCAGCCAGUUCUAGGGUGAAGCGACAAGAAUGUUGCGACUGCAUCACACUUGUCAUCAUUAUCUCUUAUGACUCAGGAAGGAGAUGCUGCCCUUGUGAUAAUCCAAUUGACGAAAUUAUAAUCAUUGACACCCGCCCCACUUCAUCGGGUCAGCAAACAAGGCGUGGUUGAUUGACAAAGUUGACGAAGGAGUUAAGGAUUGUCAGAAAGACUCUGCGCAGCGGAACAGGAUUACAAGUGAGAGUGAACGAAGGAUGAAGGUUCCUGUGCCUGAGGUGGAAACUGUUAUGUUGUGGAUGCUUCAUAUGCUAGACUAGCACUUAACUUUAUAUUGUUUAUUGUUGUUGUCGUUGUUGUUAUAAUUUUACUAGGAAUUAACAUCAUUACUAUUUAAAAGGAAAAUGGAUGACACAGAAAUAACAACUGUUAGGCCAUGAUAUCAACUGAGGUUAAGAAACAAUACUCGAUGAAUAAAAAUGAAUUCAAAAA
Molecule: long non-coding RNA, 606 nt
Organism: Macrobrachium nipponense
Lineage: Eukaryota; Metazoa; Arthropoda; Malacostraca; Decapoda; Palaemonidae
Exons: 2
Source: RefSeq, a predicted model, not a curated record